This 347-nucleotide ribosomal RNA is filed under the name uncultured bacterium. Its description in RNAcentral is "partial 16S ribosomal RNA". It matches the Rfam family "Bacterial small subunit ribosomal RNA", at positions 338 to 682 of the family's 1533-position model. The record is from RNAcentral.
CCUACGGGGGGCAGCAGUGAGGAAUAUUGGUCAAUGGCCGGAAGGCUGAACCAGCCAUGCCGCGUGAAGGGCAGGGCCCUAGGGGCGUUAAACUUCUUUUGUGCGGGAGCAAGAAUGGUCACGUGUGGCCAGACGAGAGUACCGUACGAAGAAGCAGCGGCUAACUCCGUGCCCGCAGCCGCGGUAAUACGGGGGAUGCAAGCGUUAGCCGGAGUUAUUGGGUUUAAAGGGUGCGUAGGCUGUGAGGUAAGUCAGCGGUGAAAUGCCCCCGCUCAACGGGGUGAAGUGCCAUUGAUACUGCCUUGCUGGACUGCGGAUGCCGUGGGAGGAAUGUGUGGUGUAGCGGU